RNAcentral lists this ribosomal RNA (385 nucleotides) under Paramoeba perurans. Its description in RNAcentral is "SSU rRNA". Lineage: Eukaryota; Discosea; Flabellinia; Dactylopodida; Paramoebidae. The record is from RNAcentral.
UGGUGAAUCAUGAUAACUUUWCGAAUCGCAUGGUCUUUUGUGCCGGCGAUAGUUCAUUCAAAUAUCUGCCCUAUCAACUUUCGAUGGUAGUAUAGAGGACUACCAUGGUGUUAACGGGUAACGGAGAAUCAGGGUUUGAUUCCGGAGAAGGAGCCUGAGAAACGGCUACUACUUCCAAGGAAGGCAGCAGGCGCGCAAAUUACCCAAUCCCGACACGGGGAGGUAGUGACAAAAAAUAACAAUACCGGUCUUAUUUAAGUCUGGUAAUUGGAAUGAGUACAAUCUAAAUCCUUUAACGAGUAUCAAUUGGAGGGCAAGUCUGGUGCCAGCAGCCGCGGUAAUUCCAGCUCCAAUAGCAUAUAUUAAAGUUGUUGCAGUUAAAAAG